AGAGUGAACGCUGGCGGCAGGCCUAACACAUGCAAGUCGAACGGCAGCACAGGGGAGCUUGCUCCCUGGGUGGCGAGUGGCGGACGGGUGAGGAAUGCGUCGGAAUCUGCCUUUUCGUGGGGGAUAACGUAGGGAAACUUACGCUAAUACCGCAUGCGACCCCGGUCCGGGAGGAUCGGGGUGAAAGCGGGGGACCUUCGGGCCUCGCGCGGAAAGAUGAGCCGACGCCGGAUUAGCUAGUUGGCGGGUAACGGCCACCAAGGCGACGAUCCGUAGCUGGUCUGAGAGGAUGAUCAGCCACACUGGAACUGAGACACGGUCCAGACUCCUACGGGAGCAGCAGUGGGGAAUAUUGG
This 356-nucleotide ribosomal RNA is filed under the name uncultured soil bacterium. Its description in RNAcentral is "bacterial SSU rRNA". It matches the Rfam family "Bacterial small subunit ribosomal RNA", at positions 26 to 367 of the family's 1533-position model. The record is from RNAcentral.